This is a long non-coding RNA of Anser brachyrhynchus (Pink-footed goose), 1308 nucleotides long. Lineage: Eukaryota; Metazoa; Chordata; Aves; Anseriformes; Anatidae. The record is from Ensembl.
AUGUGGGGCCUCCCCCUGGCUCGCUUGGCCACCGCCCUCUGCGCCCUCCUGGCCACCCGCCUCACCGCCCAGGACCCCUCCGCGGCCACCACCAAGGACCACCAGGUGGCCACCGCCACCUUCACCGCUUCUGCCCCAGUGGCCACUGAGGACCAGCAGCUGGCCACCACCGGGGCGCUACCGGAGACCAGCCCGAGGGCGUCCCAGCGGCCCAAGAGUCACCUCGGGGACCUGGUGGCCACCACCGAGGACCACCAGGACCCCGUGGCUGGCUCCCGACCAGCUUUGAAGAGCAGCGGUGGCCACCACGAGGGGCCGGAGGCCACCAGUAGCCACCACCAUGCCGUCAUGGAGGCCACCCUUUGGAUGACCACGGUGGCCACCACCGGUGGCCACCAACCGAUGGUGGAGCCCACUGUUGAUCGCCAAGUUGUCGGGGACCUCACCAGUCACCAGCCACCCUUGGAGGCCACCAGUGGCCACCGGCAGGAGGUGCUGGCCACCACUGAAGCCCAGUUGACCUCAUGGGUCCCCAUGGGCCACCAGCCAACGUUGGAGGCCACCACCAGCCACGACCUGAUUGUGGAGACCACCAGUGAAGACCAAAGGACCUCCUUGGUCUUCACUAGCCAACAGCCAACGUUAGUGGCCACAGGUGGCCACCAACCAUCUUGGAAGACCACCGUUGGCCACCAACCAACUUUGACGACCACCGUUGGCCACCAAUCACCUUGGAAGACCACCGUUGGCUACCAAUCGCCUUCGAAGACCACCGUUGGCCACAAAUCACCUUGGAAGCCCACCCAAGGCCACCAACCACCUCGGAAGACCACCGUUGGCCACCACCCAACCCCGGUGGCCACCGUCGGCCACCAGCCAACCCUUGAGGCCACCGCUGGCCACCACCCAACCCCGACGACCACCAAGCUCCUCAUGGCCCACCCGGGGGUGACGCCGGCCCCCCAGAGCGGCUCGUGGCGCUGGCUGCUGGUAGCCGCGGUGGUGGCCAUGCUGGCGGCCACCAUGUUGCUGGCCUGGUGGCAUUGCCACCGCCGGCGCCACUCGGGCUCCACGUCCUUCGGGCCGUGGGCCGGCCCGGCCUUGGUGGCCGAGGACGAUGGCGGCGGUGGCACGGCCACGGUGACGCAGCCGCUGGUGGCCACCGUGGCCACCAUGCAGCAGGAGCCCACGCUCAGCACCUUCCGGGCCACCUCCGGCUCCAUGGCCAUGGAGGAGCUGCCAGGACCCAAAGGGGAAGAAGCCCCGGCCAAUGGGGAUCCUGGGGCUCAGGCCACGCCCCCUACUUAG